This 341-nucleotide ribosomal RNA is filed under the name Parachartergus vespiceps. RNAcentral's name for it is "partial 12S ribosomal RNA". Lineage: Eukaryota; Metazoa; Arthropoda; Insecta; Hymenoptera; Vespidae. The record is from RNAcentral.
AAUAAUAAAUAAAUUUAAUUUAAAAUAUUAAAUGUUAAAUCAUUAAAUUAAAAAGAUUUGGCGGUAUUUUAUAUGAUUAGAGGAACCUGUAUAGUGAUUGAUACUCCACAAUAAGAAAAACUUAAUUAAAAUAUUUAUGUAUUGCUGUUUAAAGAUUAUAUUAAUUAAAUUUUUAAUAAUUUAUAUUKUAAAUAAAUUCAAGUCAAAAUAUAGUAUAGUUAAGAUAAUUAUGGGUUACAUUUAUUUAUUAMUAAUGGAUAAAUUAAUUUAAUUUAUUUUUAAAAUUGGAUUUAAUAGYAAAUUUAAUUAAUUAAUUAUUUUGAAAUUAAAAUAAAAUAAGU